GAUGAAUCUCAGAUUCUGAAUUAUUUGUAGAGAAUAAGUUUGUCAUAUUUUUAAUUAUCAAAAAUUAUGACUUGAAUGACUUUUAUGUUUGCCAUGUUUUUGUUUUAUACUUUUAAAUAUUUUUUUUAAUUUUUAUUAUCCAAUAUACAUGGAGUCUAGGUCUGAAGACAUAAGCAAACUUCAAUCCAUUCAAUUGUUUGCAGCAAAUCACUGUAUUGUUUAACAAAAGCUUACAUAAAAGCAGUAUUUGUUUGUGUAUACGAGGCAUUUUCUGUCACAAAUGAAAUUCAUGAUGUCAAAUACUGAGUUUUAAUAAAAUUGUUUGUAGAGCUCGAAAACAGAAAUCUGUGAUAGUAAAACCUAAGCCCCCCCCUUAAAUAGCAGUGUUAAUAAAUACAAUUUCAAAACUUAUUUAUAUAUUUAUUUUUUAUUACCUUGUGUUGUUGUCCAAAGGCAUAAAGUUCCCACUUUUACUGUUUAAUGUUGAAAUUAUUAUAACCAAUCAAUUCAAUGGGCAUUUCUAAGAUUUAUCAGUCUACAUCUUUUAAAGAGCAGCUUAAAAAAUUAUCAAAAAUUAAUGUUGCUCAAAUGUAUAUUUUUUAUAGUAGCAGUUUUUAAAAACUUUUCAUGAAACCUUGCACUGUUUUGGGGAUCUGUAUUAAAAAGCAUGUUUUUUUGUUUUUUUUUAAUUUGUCAUUCCAAAAUAAUGUAGGACUCGAACAACCAGAUUAUAGAUAUUUUUUGUGCCGUGUCAGGGCAAGCUUCAGUUUGUUUCAAUUAAUUUACCUCAAACUUUACACUGGUGUUAGUAUUUAUCAAAGUAAACCUUCAUGUAAUUUGGAAAGUUUUGGACUUGCUUUUCCAGAGUUAUUGGACUUUAACCAUCAAAUUCAAGAGAUAUAACAAAGGUUAUCCUCAGGCAUAUUUUUUGGCAGAACCAGUUAAACUGACUUCUAUUAUUAGUAAUACUUAAAUGUACCAUUUAAUUCAUAUAACAAUUCCAAUAUCCAGGUGUAUCUUUGGAUACUGGUGCAACUUUUUAUUGUUGUUGUUUUGGGGUCAUUAGACUAAUUCAACGUUGUUGCAUUUUAUCAAAUAAUAAAAUGAUAUUUUCAUUUUUUCAAGAAUAAUUAAAUAUGUAUACCAUAAUUAAAAUACAGAAGCAAUCUGGUACUUACAGAUUUAAUCUUAGUAGACAUUUAUCUGUUGGAAAUAGAUUAUUGAAGGAUUAAAUUGGAUCAACUGAUCUUCCAAAAAUGUGAUUUUAAUUAACAAAAAGAGAUUGUUUUUAUUUAUAUUCUUAUUUAAUGUGUAUUUGUUUUUCUUUUAUUUAUUCAUUACUUCCUUUGUUCCAACAUAUGUUCAUUUUUUUAUUCCACAAAAGAUUACAGAUUUGAUCAAACAUGUAUGUUAAGAACUUAAAAUGGAAAUUUUGGGUUUUUACUUGCUUGAACAGUAACAAAGGUUACUGGCCGUAGCUUGAUAUUUUUCUGUCAUUUUUACACAUCUCCUGUAUUUUAUUGUUGUGUCUUUUGUUUUAUUUGUGUGGAUGGUAAUGUAAAAACAUGCAAGUUUAUAAUGUUUUUUUAUGUCUAAGUACAGGUAUAUUUUUAUGAUUAUAAUGUGUAACUUUUUUUUCAUAAUAUUUUGCUUUAUUUAUUUUUAGCAUUUAUUAUGAGAAUUCUAGUCGUCACCUGCAAUGGACAUACAAGCACUGGUCACUUUAUAUGAUUUCUUAUGUUAUUCUUCACAUGGGAGGUAACUCCUGCAUUCAUGGCACAAUUUGUAAUAAGAUCACUUUGUUUAAAUGCUUACAACAAUGAAAAAAUUUUAUAACAUUUUUGAAUUAAUAAAAAUGUAAAUUAACCUUCAAAGGACAAACAAUGUAUUUUGUGAUAAUUUAUCAAAAUAUUUGACAUCAUUUUAUCAAAA
This 1932-nucleotide long non-coding RNA is filed under the name Mytilus galloprovincialis (Mediterranean mussel). The record is from RNAcentral. Lineage: Eukaryota; Metazoa; Mollusca; Bivalvia; Mytilida; Mytilidae.